CGGUAUCGGCAUUCCGUAGAAGAUGGUUGAGACACAUGAUUGGGAAAAAGGUCCCGUUGAACCUUAGGAAUGGAUUAGGAUACAAGUGACAUGUCACUAGGAUAUUUAGGCAUCCGAACUCGUUGAGUUGAGUCCGAGUUCACUUAUGGAUGCGAAUGUUCGAACUCGUUGAGUUGAGCCCGAGUUCGAGAGAUCUAACUAGGCAUCCGAGCUCAUUGAGUUGAGUUCGAGUUCACUUGUGGAUGCGAA
Molecule: long non-coding RNA, 249 nt
Filed under: Gossypium barbadense (sea-island cotton)
Lineage: Eukaryota; Viridiplantae; Streptophyta; Magnoliopsida; Malvales; Malvaceae
Description: long non-coding RNA (GBAR_LNC001446)
Source: RNAcentral